Molecule: ribosomal RNA, 449 nt
Filed under: uncultured bacterium
Lineage: Bacteria
Description: bacterial SSU rRNA
Rfam family: Bacterial small subunit ribosomal RNA
Source: RNAcentral
UGGGGAAUAUUGCGCAAUGGGGGAAACCCUGACGCAGCGACGCCGCGUGUGGGAUGAAGGUCUUCGGAUUGUAAACCACUGUCGCGAGGGACGAAGCUCUGACGGUACCUCGAAAGGAAGCACCGGCUAACUCUGUGCCAGCAGCCGCGGUAAUACAGAGGGUGCGAGCGUUGUCCGGAAUCACUGGGCGUAAAGGGCGCGUAGGCGGCCCGGUAAGUAGGGGGUGAAAUCUCAUGGCUCAACUGUGAGGCUGCCUUCUAGACUGCCAGGCUUGAGCACAGUAGAGGCGAGUGGAAUUCCCGGUGUAGCGGUGGAAUGCGUAGAGAUCGGGAAGAACAUCGGUGGCGAAGGCGGCUCGCUGGGCUGUUGCUGACGCUGAGGCGCGAAAGCGUGGGGAGCAAACAGGAUUAGAUACCCGAGUAGUCCCUGAGCGGGCUGGCAAGGCGCAU